This is a non-coding RNA of Salvelinus sp. IW2-2015, 74 nucleotides long. Lineage: Eukaryota; Metazoa; Chordata; Actinopteri; Salmoniformes; Salmonidae. The record is from the annotation of a RefSeq genome assembly.
GCUCCUGUGGCGCAAACGGUUAGCGCGUGGUACUAUAAAUGCCGAUGUUGUGAGUUCGAGCCUCACCAGGAGCA